UACGUAGGGUGCAAGCGUUACUCGGAAUUACUGGGCGUAAAGCGUGCGCAGGCGGUUUUGUAAGACAGGUGUGAAAUCCCCGGGCUUAACCUGGGAACUGCAUUUGUGACUGCAUAGCUAGAGUACGGUAGAGGGGGAUGGAAUUCCGCGUGUAGCAGUGAAAUGCGUAGAUAUGCGGAGGAACACCGAUGGCGAAGGCAAUCCCCUGGACCUGUACUGACGCUCAUGCACGAAAGCGUGGGGAGCAAACAGG
This 253-nucleotide ribosomal RNA is filed under the name uncultured bacterium. Its description in RNAcentral is "partial 16S ribosomal RNA". It matches the Rfam family "Bacterial small subunit ribosomal RNA", at positions 524 to 776 of the family's 1533-position model. The record is from RNAcentral.